Molecule: non-coding RNA, 83 nt
Organism: Schistocephalus solidus
Lineage: Eukaryota; Metazoa; Platyhelminthes; Cestoda; Diphyllobothriidea; Diphyllobothriidae
Source: Rfam
GGCCUCGUAGCUCAGUUGGCAAGAGCGUUGACUCUACUAAAGCCUUCCCCUUGCUAGCGUGGGUUCAAAUCCCACUGAGGCCA